RNAcentral lists this ribosomal RNA (253 nucleotides) under uncultured bacterium. RNAcentral's name for it is "partial 16S ribosomal RNA". It matches the Rfam family "Bacterial small subunit ribosomal RNA", at positions 524 to 776 of the family's 1533-position model. The record is from RNAcentral.
UACGUAGGGGGCAAGCGUUGUCCGGAUUUAUUGGGCGUAAAGAGCGUGUAGGCGGCUUGGUAGGUCCGCUGUGAAAACUCGAGGCUCAACCUCGAGACGCCGGUGGAAACCAUCAGACUAGAGUCCGGAAGAGGAGAGUGGAAUUCCUGGUGUAGCGGUGAAAUGCGCAGAUAUCAGGAAGAACACCCGUGGCUAAGGCGGCUCUCUAGUACGGUACUGACGCUGAGACGCGAAAGCGUGGGGAGCGAACAGG